Molecule: RNA transcript, 2597 nt
Organism: Cygnus atratus (black swan)
Lineage: Eukaryota; Metazoa; Chordata; Aves; Anseriformes; Anatidae
Gene: MTNAP1
Gene name: chromosome 18 C17orf80 homolog
Exons: 3
Source: RefSeq, a predicted model, not a curated record
GCGCACGCGCGCCGCCCGCCGCUGAGGUCCCCAAGCGGCCCCGGUGCUCCGCCGUUAGGGGUGGCCGCGGCGGUGCCUGACGGGAAAGCGGCCCGGUUCCGGGAAUGGCGGAGGGGCCGGGAGGGCCGCAGCGGUGCCCGUACUGCCAGCGGCACUUCCGGAGGCUCCGCGCGCACCUCCCGCACUGCAAGGCCGCGCCGGGCCUGCGGGGGGAAGCGGCGGCCGGGACCGGGACCGGGGCCGGGACCGAGGCGGAGGUGGCCCGGAGCCUCGAUCUCCGCCCCGAGGAGGCCGCGGCCGCCGCCGCGAAGCUGCGCCGAGGGCCGAAAGUCGCCAUCGAGAAGCACCGCGCCGUGGUGCUCCGGGAGCGGCCCGGUCCCGGUCCCGGUCCCGGGGCAAGGCCCAGCCCCGGCCCGCAGGGAGCCGCUCCCGGAGCCGCUGGCCCGGAGGCCGCCGGGCGCGGAGCUCCCGGCUCCGGUGGCCGCAGCGCGGGUGAAGCGCGCGCGGUGCGCGGAGCCGGCCGCAGACCGAGCCCCGGUGAGCUCCUCCCGCAGCGGGGAGCGGCGAGGACCGGGGCGGGAGAGGGGCAGAGGCACGGGGAAGGCGCCGCGGGGCGCGGAGCCCCCCGGUCGGCUUCGCACACCGAGAGCCGCCGUCUGUCGGCGGAGCGGCCCGGAGGUCGCGGGGAAGGGACGGCCAAAAAUGAGCUAACCGGCGCACCGGAGCCCGGUGGCAGCGAGCAGCGGGUGGCUGGCGUCACCGAGCCCCUCCUGAACGCACGGCGGGACGCCCCGUUCCUGCUCCGCGCCUCCCAGCGCCAGCCCAUCUGCCUCUCCCGGGGCUCUGGCAGGAGCGCGCGGGCAGGUGCCGUGGGCUUGGAGUGGUUUCCAGAGCUGCGUCCUAAUUAUCAGGCUCUGAGCGCGUUUGCGGAGAGGCCUUUCCAGGGAGAGCUGGGGAUCGCGACGAAGACACCGAGGGGCAAUUUCUCAGAAGGACAGCGAGGUAACGUAAGAAACGCGUGGCGCUGCUGCUGCUGUGCUGUCAGGCUAAACUGUCGGGCGUCAAUGGGAACAGGAAGCGCUCAGCUGCUGGGUUCAGACCUGAAAGAAUCCAAGGACGUUACCUGUGCAACCUUCCCAGCCUGGAAAACCAGCAGUUUAAGAUGGGCUCUUGCGUGUUUGGGCUGGUGGAGCCAGCUGACUUUGUGGGAGAGAGAAUCGCUCUUCUUUUCUGAGCACUCUCAAAGUCAGCUCACCAGGAACCACACUGUACAGCAGCUCAGCGCUCACCACCCGGUCCAGCGAACACGAUCACAUCAUGUGUUGGCCUCGUUUCCCUCCCUUUGACUGCUCCGACCUCUCGUUUCACAGGGCCCCUCGCAGAAAGGCACCUGAUGGAUGUCAGGCUGGGGGAGCUGCCCACGUGGCUGGCCACCCGUGACUUCUCUCCCCGGGGGCUGCUUGGAGGAGUGCAGAAAGCAUGGAACAGUUACUGCAACAAAUACAUCAACGUGAAAAAGGGCGGAGCAGCUGGGGUCUCCAUGCUCCUGGCUGGAUACUGCAUCCUCAGCUACGGCUGGAGCUAUCAGCAUAUCAAGUGUAAUCGCUGGCGUAAGUACCACUGAAGAAGCUGGAACAGCAACCAGGGAACAAUCACAACCAUUUGACGGAGUCAGCACAAGCUCUCUGGACCAGCGUCCCAACAGGGAUUGAACCCAGCAGAGGCCCCCUUCCUGUCAGAGACAGCUCGUAAAUCCCUGCUGCUGAGGGGGUGCUGUUCAGCUACCCUCCGGCAGGCAGAGGGGUGAUGCUGACAGCCUGCAGUCACUGCUCUGCGGGUCAGGCAGCGUUCAGUACUGAAAGACAAAGUGUUAGGGCAGCUCCUCAGAGGUCUGCAGGAGAGCUCCUGUACUUUGCUUUGCAGCAGCUUGGGUCCCUUGCUGGAUAGGUCAGGGACAGGACAGUUCCCGGACGUAGGCGGUUAGCGUAGAUUGAUCUACACAUGUAUCUACACAUGUUACAGUGUAUUGCCAAUGAAUUAUAUGAUUGAUUGUGGCAGAGGGGGAUAAUCCUUCCCGUAAGUUAGCUGAGCUGUGCCCAGCACUGCCCGUCUUUUACUUACCCCUCUCCACAACGAGAUUGCUUUGCUACCAGCCCCAGGAGAAGGGUGGUCCCUGCAGAGCUGUUCCACAAAGGGGCCCCUGCUUCACCAACAGCACAGCACCCCUGGGACUGCCUGGGCACCAAAACAGCCACGGGAAGGAUCUCUGUGAAGGCUUUAAAGCAGCAGCACUGAGAACGCAGUGCCCUAUUUCUGGCGGAAGAAAAUCCAUUGGAUUAGCUGUUGUGCCCAAAGGGCAGACUGACAUCAGACGAACGAGGACAGUUAUGAGAGCGCUAGUUGUAGCCUGCCGUCACCGAACAUGUCUGGAAAAGCAGCAUUGGUCAUGUUACAGGCAUGAAGGGUAAGAAAAAAAAGGCAACAAGAAUAUGAACUCUUUAUUCCAAGUGAGGUGCAGAAGUAUUGUGUCAGAGGCGUUUCACCAAGAACUCCCCUUACCAGCAAUAAAAGCCUUUGUGCGUUUUCCUUUCCUGCUC